This 623-nucleotide ribosomal RNA is filed under the name uncultured archaeon. Its description in RNAcentral is "bacterial SSU rRNA". It matches the Rfam family "Archaeal small subunit ribosomal RNA", at positions 146 to 774 of the family's 1478-position model. The record is from RNAcentral.
AUAAUACUCCAUAGAUUAGAGACACUGGAAUGUUCUUUAGUCGAAAGUUCUGGCGCCUUAGGAUGGAUCUGCGGUCGAUUAGGUUGUUGUUGGGGUAACGGCCCAACAAGCCUGUAAUCGAUACGGGUUGUGGGAGCAAGAGCCCGGAGAUGGAAUCUGAGACACGAUUCCAGGCCCUACGGGGCGCAGCAGGCGCGAAAACUUUACAAUGCAGGAAACUGUGAUAAGGGAACUCCGAGUGCCCGUAUACGCGGGCUGUCCAGGUGUUUAAAAAUCAUCUGAAGAAAGAGCCGGGCAAGACCGGUGCCAGCCGCCGCGGUAAUACCGGCGGCUCGAGUGGUGGCCACUAUUAUUGGGCUUAAAGCGUCCGUAGCUGGACCGAUAAGUCUCUUGGGAAAUCCGCCGGCUCAACCGGCGGGCGUCUAAGGGAUACUGUUAGUCUAGGGACCGGGAGAGGUGAGAGGUACUCCGGGGGUAGGAGUGAAAUCCUGUAAUCCCCGGGGGACCACCGAUGGCGAAGGCAUCUCACCAGAACGGCUCCGACAGUGAGGGACGAAAGCUGGGGGAGCGAACCGGAUUAGAUACCCGGGUAGUCCCAGCCGUAAACUAUGCGCGUUAGGUGU